GGCCUUUAGCCCCACCAAGUAUUAAAGGUCCCGCCUGCCCAGUGACCCCCUUCAACGGCCGCGGUAUCAUAACCGUGCAAAGGUAGCGUAAUCACUUGUCUCCUAAAUAGAGACCCGUAUGAAUGACUAAAUGAGGGCAAGCCUGUCUCCUGCGGCCAAUCAAUAAAACUGAUCCAUCAGUACAAAAGCUGAUAUACUAACAUAAGACGAGAAGACCCUGUGGAGCUUUAAACACCCUAUUAAUUAGCCGCACACCCUCGCCCCCCGGCACUUACGUACAAGCAGGGAAUAACUAGGCGUUUUAAGUUGGGGCGACUGCGGAACAAAACAAACCUUCCACGAGACAAGACUAACCAUCGCACAGGGCCGACGGGCCAAAAAUUGACCCAGUAAAACUGAUCAACGAACCAAGUUACCCCAGGGAUAACAGCGCUAUCCCCUUUAAGAGUCCCUAUCGCCAAGGGGGCUUACGACCUCGAUGUUGGAUCAGGACACCCCGGUGGUGCAGCCACUACCAAAGGUUCGUUUGUUCAACGAUUAAAGUCCU
RNAcentral lists this ribosomal RNA (547 nucleotides) under Pseudogekko atiorum (Central Visayan false gecko). RNAcentral describes it as "LSU rRNA". It matches the Rfam family "Bacterial large subunit ribosomal RNA", at positions 1817 to 2597 of the family's 2925-position model. Lineage: Eukaryota; Metazoa; Chordata; Lepidosauria; Squamata; Gekkonidae. The record is from RNAcentral.